GGGGGGGGGGGGCGGGGGGCGGAGCAGGUGCAAGGCGAGCGGGGCGGGCGGGGGGGGGGGCGCGCGGGUGCGGAACGGGGGGGAACGUGCCCUUGGGUGCGUGGUACCUGCCCGAGCGGGGUGCUAAUACCGGGUAGGGUCUUCGGACGAAAGAUUUAUCGCCGUGGAGGGGGCCCGCGUUGGAUUAGCGAGUUGCUAGGGCAAAAGCCUACCAAGGCGACGCUCCAUAGCUGGUCUGAGAGGAGGAUCAGCCACACUGGGACUGAGACACGGCCCAGUCUCCUACGGGAGGAAGCAGUGGGGAAUAUUGGACAAUGGGCGAAAGCCUGAUCCAGCAAUGCCGCGUGAGUGAUGAAGGCCUUAGGGUUGUAAAGCUCUUUUACCCGGGAUGAUAAUGACAGUACCGGGAGAAUAAGCGCCGGCUAACUCCGUG
Molecule: ribosomal RNA, 433 nt
Filed under: uncultured bacterium
Lineage: Bacteria
Description: partial 16S ribosomal RNA
Rfam family: Bacterial small subunit ribosomal RNA
Source: RNAcentral